GACGAACGCUGGCGGCGUGCUUAACACAUGCAAGUCGAGCGAGAAACUUCGGUUUCUAGCGGCGGACGGGUGAGCAACACGUGGGCAACCUGCCUCACAAUGGGGGAUAGCCUUCCGAAAGGAAGAUUAAUACCGCAUAACACAAAGGAAACGCAUGUUUCUUUUGCCAAAGAAUUUCGUUGUGAGAUGGGCCCGCGGCGCAUUAGCUUGUUGGUGAGGUAACGGCUCACCAAGGCGACGAUGCGUAGCCGACCUGAGAGGGUGAUCGGCCACAUUGGAACUGAGACACGGUCCAGACUCCUACGGGAGGCAACAGCGGGGAAUAUUGCACAAUGGAGGAAACUCUGAUGCAGCAACGCCGCGUGAGUGAUGAAGGUCUUCGGAUUGUAAAGCUCUGUCUUCUGGGACGAUAAUGACGGUACCAGAGGAGGAAGCCACGGCUAACUACGUGCCAGCAGCCGCGGUAA
This 467-nucleotide ribosomal RNA is filed under the name uncultured bacterium. RNAcentral describes it as "partial 16S ribosomal RNA". It matches the Rfam family "Bacterial small subunit ribosomal RNA", at positions 28 to 523 of the family's 1533-position model. The record is from RNAcentral.